GCUACUCAGCAGGGUGAGAUCUGAGGAUUGUAGUUUGAAGCCAGCCUGGGCAGGUGAGUCUGUAACAAUCUCAUCUCCAAUACACUCCUCAGAAAAGCAGGAAAUGGCGCUGUGGCUCAAGUGGCAGAGUGCUAGCCUUGAGCAAAAAGAAGCCAGGGACAGUG
Molecule: long non-coding RNA, 164 nt
Organism: Perognathus longimembris pacificus (Pacific pocket mouse)
Lineage: Eukaryota; Metazoa; Chordata; Mammalia; Rodentia; Heteromyidae
Exons: 3
Source: RefSeq, a predicted model, not a curated record